Molecule: small nucleolar RNA, 213 nt
Organism: Artibeus jamaicensis (Jamaican fruit-eating bat)
Lineage: Eukaryota; Metazoa; Chordata; Mammalia; Chiroptera; Phyllostomidae
Product: small nucleolar RNA U3
Exons: 1
Source: RefSeq, a predicted model, not a curated record
AAGACUAUACUUUUAGAAAUCAUUUCUAUAGUUCGUUACUAGAGAAGUUUCUCUGAAUGUGUAGAGCACCCGAAACCACAAGGAGGAGCACAGUGUUCUCUUCUGAGAGUGAAGCCAGCAUUUGGUGUUGCUUUUGCAACUGCCAAUAACCAUUGAUGAUCGUUCUUCUCUUUCUUUGGAAGAGUAAGAGGAAGAGAACACAGUCUGAGUGGU